AGAUCGGGAUAACACCUGGAAACAGAUGCUAAUACCGGAUAACAACAGAUGAUGCCUAUCAACUGUUUAAAAGAUGGUUCUGCUAUCACUCUUGGAUGGACCUGCGGUGCAUUAGCUAGUUGGUAGGGUAACGGCCUACCAAGGCGAUGAUGCAUAGCCGAGUUGAGAGACUGAUCGGCCACAUUGGGACUGAGACACGGCCCAAACUCCUACGGGAGGCAGCAGCG
RNAcentral lists this ribosomal RNA (227 nucleotides) under uncultured Lactobacillus sp. Its description in RNAcentral is "partial 16S ribosomal RNA". It matches the Rfam family "Bacterial small subunit ribosomal RNA", at positions 135 to 356 of the family's 1533-position model. The record is from RNAcentral. Lineage: Bacteria; Bacillati; Bacillota; Bacilli; Lactobacillales; Lactobacillaceae.